CGCGUGAACGAAGGUUGGGUUUUGCAGGUGGCUGUUCUUACCUCUUCUCGGAGUUGAAAUCAAGGCCAUUUCACCUGGGUUAGGGUGGUGGGUAAGACAUUAAGUAAUAUGAACACGUUGAGGCUUCAGUUUCCCCGCUACUACCUCCACCUUGCUCCCUUGGAGUAUUCUAAUGAUUGAGGAACUCGAAGUUAGAGCGAGAGACGCGCACUUCACUAAGGAGUUUCACUUUGAGAAAUUUAACCUAACACGCUGUGUGGACUGAGGAGAGAAGACAUUCCCUGAGGAGAAACGACUUAGCGAGGAGAGAGUCAGGCAGUCAGGAAGCCUCAAAAUACUGGUUUGUUAAGUCUCUGCUUGAACGCUGUGGAUGCAUCAUGCAAUUCCCCUUGAGGGAUGACUGUAACAGCUACCCUUUAGGGGGCUUUCGAUAUUGUCAAAUAGCCUCCAGCCAAAGACCAGCGCGAACAUCACUACAGUUUAACAAAGUUGGGCUUGCCGUCUCCUUUCAAAGAGGGAGGAACACCAUAAGAACAGGGCAACACCUCAAGAAGAAGAUACAGAAGCCAAGUUACGGAGUCCACAAAAAAUAGUGAGAAAUCCAGAACCAAACUAUUGGAAUCUUCACUCUAGGCCAUUCUUGAUGCUCAGCACAACCCCAGAUCUCCAGCUGCUCAACAAAACAGGAGAAACUGUGUGGAUCCCAGCUAAGAAGAUAAAACCCAAAAAAUGAAUAAAAGGCCUCGAUUUAAUGUUGAACCUCCAGCUGAUGAGAUGCAAGCCAUGAUUAUUAGAAGAUCCAGAGUUUGAGUUUCAUUACCAAGAAGUAGGUGAAUCCCCCAACAUGGGGACAAUUUAAAAAGAUGACACAGGAAGCUGAAAAAAUUAUACAACAGACCAGACAAGCACGCAACGCUUCAGAUUUAUUCCUGGCUAUGUUUGCUGUGGUCACCAUAGGGGUAAGUUCUGCUAAUGGCAUUAAUCAUUCAUAUUGGGCUUACAUUCCUAACCACCUGAUCAAUCAAGUUAUUCGUCGGCUCUCUGAGACGGUCCCAAUAUAUGUUAAUGAUUCCAACUGGACUCCUGGUCCUAAUGAUACUCGUGGCCCAUUAAAGCCAGGAGAAGAGGGCAUGAAAAUUGAGAAUUAUACCGUGGGAGUAGAGGGGAUACCUAUUUGUAUUGGACAAUGAAACCAUUGCUUAAAAAUAACAACCAGCUACAUGGCUGUCCAUUGUCAAAAAUAAUACCAAUAAAAAAAUUGUUCCUUCUUCAAGCAUUUGGAUUCCACAAAAAAGAUAAUACAAAAGACACAACAGAUCAUCCCUCUGAUUUGGCCAUCUGCACCCAGCCAAUAACUAUGAAAAUCAGUGAAUGGGUGCACUGGACGAAUUGUCAAGGAGAACUAGGUCGGGUUUUACUUAAUACUUCCUGUGGAAGCAUCACUGAUUGGAACCCUCAAGGUUCCACCUGGACCAAAAGACAGGGGCAUGACUUGAAAUGGCAUAAAUAUAUUAAUGUCAUUAAUUACACCAUUGUCACUUCUUCUAAUGAGACCCUUUAUUGGCAUGGAGGUGGGAUGUCUCCUCCUGCCCCUCAUUUACCUUUUAGGCCCCUGCAGUAUCACUUAAGGAAAAUUCCCUCAGCUUUUCGGAGUCUGAUAGCUUGGAAAGACCAUAUUUAGAAUGAUAGCCUUACAAAAAGUAGUCAAUUAAGUUUUACAAAAACUGAGAGUCAUUAUAUUAUAGCCUGUGUCAGAUUGCCUUUUAUAUUAUGAUUGGUCACAUAGCGUGGAGUUCAUCUGGAUAUUCCAUCUCCUGUGCAAAUUGUUCAUUCUAUAUUUGUAUUAAUAACUCUGUUCCUUUUUCCACAAAAGAUAAUCUUUAUAUUCUUAAGGCUAGAACAGGUCUCUGGUUUCCAGUUCAACUACACCGAAAGUGGCAAGAUUCUCCAUGCAUCAUGUUUCUCCAAUAUACUAUUGAUAAAUCUUCUGAAGAGAACUAAAUGAAUGAUUAGAUUAAUCAUUGCAGCUGUCCUGGGGAUCAUAGCCAUAAUUGCAACUGCUACAGCCGCUGGGGUCGCGCUUCAACAAAGCAUUCAGACUGUUGACUUUGUUAAUAAUUGGCAUUCUAAUUCGUCAAAAUUGUGGAUCACCUAAAGACGGAUAGAUAGUGAAAUUAAUGCACAAUUGACUGAUUUGCAACAAGCAGUUAUUAUGCUAGGAGAUCAAAUUGUUAGUUUGCAACGUCAAAUUUCUAUGAAAUGCAAUUGGAAUACAACUGGAUUUUGUGUUACUCCUAUACCUUAUAAUCAUACUUAUGUUCCCUGGGAUAAUGUUAAAAAACAUGUUAAAUCAUGGUAAUAUGACUCAAGAAAUAUUAGAACUUCAACAGCACAUUACUGAUAAUUUCCAGAAACAAUUACAAGUAUUAAGUGGUUCUAAUCUAUUGGAAAGCAUUGCAGAUGGAAUAAAUAAUCUGGACCUGAUAAAACACUUAAAAAUUUUUAGUGGUUCCACUACUACACUUACAAAUAAUUGUAUUAUAUUUGUUAUUUGUAUUUUAUAUAGUCUGGAGAAGAGCUACCCGAAAACGUCAACAUGCUCAACAGCAAUCAGCAGUCUUCUCAUUAAUGUUACAAAAGGUGCAAGUGAAACAAAAAGGGGGAAAUGUAGACACCCCAGCAAUUAACUUUGCUGUAGUUUAGUUCUGGUUAAGCUUGAUUUAUAACUAAAACUAAUCUAAGAGAAAAGAACAAUACGUUUAUUGCUUAAGUUUGAUUAAUAGCUGAAACUAACCUAAUAGAAAGAACAAAGUGUUAAUUCCUGGAAUCUGGUGUGAGUUAUGGACAGUGUGGAACAGGAGCUGCAAACAGUUCCUGUGAUCCUUUCUGCAGCAAACCCAGACAAGGAACAUGCUGUGAAACUCACUAACCGGAUGACUUGACUUAA
This is a long non-coding RNA of Manis javanica (Malayan pangolin), 2947 nucleotides long. RefSeq lists it as uncharacterized. The record is from RefSeq and is a predicted model, not a curated record. Lineage: Eukaryota; Metazoa; Chordata; Mammalia; Pholidota; Manidae.